UACGAAGGGGGCUAGCGUUGCUCGGAAUGACUGGGCGUAAAGGGCGCGUAGGCAGCGAUCAAGGUCAGAUGUGAAAUUCCUGGGCUUAACCUGGGGGGCUGCAUUUGAUACGUGGUGGCUUGAGUGCGGAAGAGGGUCGUGGAAUUCCCAGUGUAGAGGUGAAAUUCGUAGAUAUUGGGAAGAACACCGGUGGCGAAGGCGGCGACCUGGUCCGUGACUGACGCUGAGGCGCGAAAGCGUGGGGAGCAAACAGG
RNAcentral lists this ribosomal RNA (254 nucleotides) under uncultured bacterium. RNAcentral describes it as "partial 16S ribosomal RNA". It matches the Rfam family "Bacterial small subunit ribosomal RNA", at positions 524 to 776 of the family's 1533-position model. The record is from RNAcentral.